Oncorhynchus tshawytscha (Chinook salmon) is the source of this 2456-nucleotide long non-coding RNA. NCBI's taxonomy places the organism in Eukaryota, Metazoa, Chordata, Actinopteri, Salmoniformes, Salmonidae. The record is from Ensembl.
GCUACACACACAUACACUGGCAAAGAUGUUCAGCUGUCAGGCAGAUACUGGAAGACGUUUCUGAUUGACAGAGAGAGGGCUUUGCAUACGUUCUUUGUUGCCUUUUUUUUUUUGUGGGACUAGAACAAAAAAUACCCCGGAACGUAGAAGAACUGUAUUAACCGAUUCCAAUGCUUUUAAAUGAACGGUUCUGUUCCCAGAACAGUAUAGAUCACUUUCAUUCCCGGUUCUGAUUCUGUUCCUUAAAUUUGUUUGUUAUUUUCCGGUUUUCGGUUCUUUUCCCUGAACCGGUUCCAUCCCACGUUACCAACAGCUGCAAAUUCAUAUAAAACCACAUGUUUUGAAGUUCAUUUCCUUGCUUUGUAGAACAAUAUUAUCAUGAAUCUAGCAAAUAAGUUUUGUGGGUCAGAGGUCAAUAUUUAUUUAGUUUCAUAGCACAAAUGUAUGUUAGCGCGUUUCUCAGACUGGCUUUAGCCACGGAUGGAGCAGGCCUGUCCUGGCAAGUGCAGGGAUUUGUGAAUCUGUUAGGAGCGAACCGCAAGCGCCACAGCUGAAAUGGUAAAAAUAAAUAAAUAAAAUGAUUCCAGCUUUAAAUGGAUCAUCCAGAUUAGCUGUUAGCUUUUGUUUUGUUCUCAUCUAAUACUAACAAAUUACAGUAUUCUAUCAUCCUGACAAUAUGGUACUACAGAGAAGAGAGGUUUAGGAGAGGUGUAGGAGAGGAGGAGAGGAGGAGAGGAGGAGAGAGGAGAGCAGUGAGGAGGAGAGAGGAGUGGAGGAGAGAGGAGAGCAGUGAGGAGGAGAGAGGAGUGGAGUGGAGAGGUUUAGGAGAGGAGAGAGGAGAGGAGUGGAGAGGAGGAGAGAGGAGAGGAGUGGAGAGGAGAGAGGUAUGGAGAGGAGAGGAGUGGAGAGGAGAGAGGUUUAGGAGAGGAGAGAGGAGAGGAGUGGAGAGGAGAGAGGUUUAGGAGAGGAGGAGAGAGGAGAGGAGUGAGGAGGAGAGAGAAGAGGAGUGGAGAGGUUUAGGAAAGAAGAGAAGAGGAGAGGAGGAGAGAGGAGAGGAGAGGAGGAGAGAGGAGAGCAGUGAGGAGGAGAGAGGAGUGGAGUGGAGAGGUUUAGGAGAGGAGAGAGGAGAGGAGUGGAGAGGAGGAGAGAGGAGAGGAGUGGAGAGGAGAGAGGUAUGGAGAGGAGAGGAGUGGAGUGGAGAGAGGUUUAGGAGAGGAGAGAGGAGAGGAGUGGAGAGAAGAGAGGUUUAGGAGAGGAGGAGAGAGGAGAGGAGUGAGGAGGAGAGAGAAGAGGAGUGGAGAGGUUUAGGAAAGAAGAGAAGAGGAGAGGAGGAGAGAGGAGUGGAGAGGAGAGAAGAGGAGAGAGGAGUGGAGAGGAGAGAGGUAUGGAGAGGAGAGGAGUGGAGAGGAGAGAGGUUUAGGAGAGGAGGAGAGAGGAGAGGAGUGAGGAGGAGAGAGAAGAGAAGUGGAGAGGUUUAGGAAAGAAGAGAAGAGAAGAGGAGAGGAGGAGAGAGGAGUGGAGAGGAGAGAAGAGGAGAGAGGAGUGGAGAGGAGAAGAGAAGAGGAGGAGAGGAGUGGAGAGGUUUAGGAGAGGAGAGGUGGAUGACUGGAUAUUUUAGGCAGACAGGGAUAAUAAAGCCUUGGUUGUAUCACUACAGAAGCUGGAGACAGGGAGCGAUGGAGGAGGCGGUACUGAUGAAUUAUUUAUGUCUGGCCAAAGCAUCCAAUUUCCGUUUCAUUCUUUCACAGGGAGUCUGGGACUACUAGCCAGAGAGCUCUGUGAUAUCCCCCCCCCGGCUUGCCUAAUGAUUUAAGUGUUUGUAAUGAGGUUUGGAAGAUGUAUCUGUAGCAAUGAUUUUUUUAAGGAAUAAUAAAUAUUCUUAUAUUUUUCAGCUGUUAUUAAUCAUAGGAUAAGUUGUGCCUUGAAGCCCCAUGUUGUAGACCUACAGUGAGUACUGACGACGUCAUCAAAGAGAGAAAUAAUAGCUAUGUCGUUUGUGUACUUCUCACUGUUGCUCAGCCUCAUUCAUUACAAGUGAUGGAUUGAACCCGUGAUGGAACUCGAAGCAUUCUUUUGGAAUCGACGCUGAGAUUUGUUCAAUUCACAACACUCUGUAGCAUUUUUCUACGUUAGAAAGAGCAAGGUCAGUUUUAAUAAUCUCCUCCUGUACUCAAUGGAUCCUUUGUAGUCUUUACUAUGUGUAGUGUUGAAUAGUGAUGGCUGUAGUGUUGAAUAGUGAUGGCUGUAGUGUUGAAUAGUGAUGGCUGUAGUGUUGAAUAGUGAUGGCUGUAGUGUUGAAUAGUGAUGGCUGUGUAAAUGAAGGCAGUCAGAUCAGAUGCUGCAGUGGGCUGAGGAGAGGAGAGGAGGGGAGGGGAGAGAAGGGGAGGGGAUAGGAGGGUCAGGAGAACAUGCCCUGCAUCCUGACGAAGCUCGAGGCUGCUGCCAGGAGAGGACAG